GACGAACGCUGGCGGCGUGCCUAAUACAUGCAAGUCGAGCGCUGAAGGUUGGUUCUUGUAUGAACUGGAUGAGCAGCGAACGGGUGAUUAACGCGUGUCUAAUCUGCCUUGGAGCGUGGGACAACAUUUGGAAACGAAUGCUAAUACCGCAUAAAAACGUUAAACACAAGUUUCAUGUUUGAAAGAGGCAAUUGCAUCACUCAAAGAUGAUCCCGCGUUGGAUUAGGUAGUUGGUGAGGUAAAGGCCCACCAAGGCGAUGAUACAUAGCCGACCUGAGAGGGUGGUCGGCCCCAUUGGGAAUGGGACACGGGCCCAACUCCUACGGGGAGCAGCCGUAGGGAAAUUUCGGCCAUGGAGGGAAAUCUUGCCGAAGAACGCCGGGGGGGGGGAGAAGGUUCUCCGGUCGGUAAAGUCUGUUGGUAGGGAAGAAAGUUCGUGAGGGUGGAAAGCUGAUGAAGUGACGGUAACUACAGAAAAAGGAACGGCUAACUACGUG
Molecule: ribosomal RNA, 497 nt
Filed under: uncultured bacterium
Lineage: Bacteria
Description: partial 16S ribosomal RNA
Rfam family: Bacterial small subunit ribosomal RNA
Source: RNAcentral